Molecule: ribosomal RNA, 252 nt
Filed under: uncultured bacterium
Lineage: Bacteria
Description: partial 16S ribosomal RNA
Rfam family: Bacterial small subunit ribosomal RNA
Source: RNAcentral
GACAGAGGAUGCAAGCGUUGUCCGGAUUUAUUGGGCGUAAAGAGCUCGUAGGCGGUCAGUCGCGUCGGAUGUGAAACCCGGAGCUUAACUCCGGGCCUGCAUUCGAUACGGGCUGACUAGAGUGUUGUAGGGGAGACUGGAACUCCUGGUGUAGCGGUGAAAUGCGCAGAUAUCAGGAAGAACACCGGUGGCGAAGGCGGGUCUCUGGGCAACUACUGACGCUGAGGAGCGAAAGCGUGGGGAGCAAACAGG